CAAGCACAGACAGGGAUAGCGUGCCCGGGAAGAGAUGUCCCAGUGAACACGCUGGCUCAGGCUAGAAUUCGCUAUAGUACAACAGCUCAGAGCAGGGACACUGAGCCAGGCAGCCUUGAUUCCUAUUUAUUCAUCAGUCAGGUUAUCUAACCUGUCUGGACCCCAAUAUUUAUCUAUCAUCUAUCAGAUGGAGAUAAUAGUACUUACUUGUAUCAUGCUGGGCUUUUUGGGCAGUUGGAGCGGGUACUGGCAAUUGAACCAAGGGGCUCUUUAUCACUGAGCCACAUUCCCAGAUCCCCAGCCCUUAUUUUAUUUAUUUAUUUUUGGUACCAGGGAUUUAAUCCAGGGGCGCUCAACCACUGAUCCUCCUGCUUCAGCCUCCUGAGCUGCUGAGAUUAUAGGUGUGUGCCAGCACACCCAGCUAUUUUGUUUUUAUUUUUGAGGCAGAUUCUCGCUAAAUUGCUUAGGGCCUCACUGAGUUGCAGAGACUGGCUUCGAACUUGUGAAUUCUCCUGCCUCAGCCUCCAGAGUUGCUGGGAUUACAGGUCUAUGCCACUGUGCCUGGCUUCAUGAUGUUUAAAGAGGAUAAAAAGAGUUAAAAUGUGUGCAAGUCUUUGAAGAAUGCCUGCCAUAUAGUAAGUAUUCUUUUUAUAAAUAUAUGUUAGAUUCAGGUAGAGUGGCAUUUGCUGUUAUCCCAACUACUCGGGAGGCUGAGAGAGGAUGAUUACAAGAUCAAUGUCAGCCUCUGCAACUUAGUGAGACCCUGUCUCAAAAUUAAAAAAUAAAAAGGGCUGGGAGCUGGGCGCAGCAGCACACACCUACAAUCCCAGCAGCUUGGGAGGCUGAGACAAGAGGAUUGUGGGUUCAAAGCCAGCCUCAGCAAUGGUGAGUCACUGAGUAACUCAGUGAGACCCUAUUUCUAAAUAAAAUACAAAAUAGGGCUGGGGACGUGGCUCAGUGGUUGAGUGCCUCUGGGUUCAAUCCCUGGUACCAAAAAAAAAAAAAAAAAAAAAAGGAAAUAAUGCUCUGGAUUCAUUCACUAUUAAACAGCAGUGGAAAGGAAAUUUAACUAUUAAGGAGAGACAGAGAGAAUGACCCCAAAUCCCCCAGAUAGCUAGCUGUGUGGCUGUGUAGUGAGGAACAAGAUAGCUGAGUGCCAAGCCUUGGUCCUGGUGCUUUAUUGGAGAGGUCACCCUCUUAUCCUGCUCAGCCACCUGGGAAAUCAGGGAUAAGGAAGCCCCACUGGGCUCUUGGGAUUAGUUAUUGGGAAAUACUUAAGGUAGAGGCAUUCAUUCCACUUAAAGCAUAUUGGAAGAAGACCAAUUUAUAUUUGCAUAUGACUUCAACAUCAUUUGCCCCUUUAUUUUUUUUCCACCAGCUUUUAACUCAGAGAUUACAUUAAAAUAAACUCUAAAAGCCUCUCCUGGCCUAUCACACCUCUGCACUUUCCUCCUGUCUCAGCUAGUGUCAAAAACAAAUUUUCCCUGGUGCCAUCCCAUGCUAGUGUCAUGCAGUGGUCAAGGGUACCACCCUUGAGUGCUUCGAAAUAAGCCUGCAGAGUCUGUGUCCCCUCUGUGUCCCACGGACACCACCACCCAAGCCCAUGGCUUCAUGGCAGUGAACUGUCGAUGCUCAGGUUUCAAACUCCUUUCAGUUGGGCAUUUUGGCAAAGGCUUCCUUCCUGUGUCAUGGCAUUUCCUGGCACACACUCUUGUUAAAUUCAUUGGACUGAAGCAGCAGGACAGCAUCAUGAUUCAAAGCUAAGGGCCUGAGAAUCGGGCAAGAGUUCAAACCUGCUCUCAUUACUUUCUGGCUAUAGAGAUAGAGUUUAGGCAAGUUCUCUGUCUCUAAAGCCUUACUUUUCUCCUCAAGCAGGAAUCACCUGCAUUUCCCAGUGCCAAUGUGGGGAUCGCAGGUGAUAAAGGAAAAGUGCUUAGCACAUACCUGGCAGAGUACCUUGGGCUGAUAUGGAGCUAUUCUUAGCAGGCAGAGGAGAGCAGAGCUGGGCCCUGCAGCUGCUCUUUCGAAUUCCCCCCCUCCACCCUCCUCCUCCCAGUCACCAGGUUUUAGAAGCAGGAUAAUUACUAAUGUGUUGAAAUCUGGGUGGGGCACAGGUAUAUUUAAAAUUACAAACAGGCUGUGACAAACUAUUUCAUCUGUGCAGGUUAUAAGGCACUAGGUAUCAGAGGCGAAUAAUUAUUCCCGUUUUGUGAAAUAAUUGGGGCUAGGGGGUGGGAGUGGGGUAGGGACACACUAUGAAUGUUUCUGAUCUAGCACACUGUGGAGGAGGAGGUGAAUCCCUGGCUAUUCUCUGUGCUCCAACUGGAUUACUUGCAAAGGCUGGUGAUGAUGUGGCCAGAAACUGUGGGUACUCGGAUUUGUUUUUGGCACCAGGGAAAACAGACUCUAAACUGAUCAUUAUACCACUCUUGCAAAAUUAAACAAAACAAAAAACAAACAGCAAACAAAAACCCCUGGCAGAGCCCCCGCACCUCCAAUUGAGAUCACAGAAACAGUUCCUACGUGACCUUUUCCAGGGUUGGACUGAGCUCUGCUUGGAUUCCAGGCAGAAACAAAACAGAUCUUCAGGCCCUGUGGCUCAAAGGAAAAGCAGUCCUUAUCUUUUAGAGGUCAGCCUCCUCCCUUCUUGUCUAGCUGUAUUAAUAUCAAAUGAAGGCCACAAAAGGGUCAGACAGGCCCAUGCUUAUCUUAGCCCAGUGCAGACUUCCUUGGCUAAAAGUGAGGAUGUAGCCAGGCCACACUCCACCAAUUUCAGGUAAAGUAGCUUUUUUUCCCCCCUGGAGUUCCCUGGGGCAGCUGGCCAAGAACCCCUGAAAGUCCUUUCUCCUAGGAAGUGCCAAGUUUUGUCCACUUGGUUUCAUAAAAGUUGGUGUAAUGUGGCUGAAUGGCGAGUCCUGCACCAUUGUCUUAAGGUGGACUAGGGCUCUCUGUUGAAUGGGAGGGGGAAGAGCGAAAGGGAAAUUGGGAAGAGAGGAAAAAGCAAAAUUCCCCAUUGACAUUUUUCUUUCUUUUUUUCUUUUUUGGUGCAGGGUGUUAAACUCAGGCUCUCCCACCUGUUAAAUACACACCCCACCACAAAAUUACACCUUCAGUCCCUUUCUGUGGUGUUUUUCCCCUUCCCCCCCCCACCCCAGCCCUUUUUUUGAGACAAAAUCUCACUAAAUUGCCCAGACUGACCUUGAAUUUGUGAUUUUCCAGCCUCAGAAGUAGCUGGGAUUAUUGGCAUGUGCCUCACAUCCAGCAAUCUGUAGCCUGUGGCAUUUCUAAAUGGGGCUCAUAAUCAUGCACACACACUCAUUACCUGCUUUGAAAACAUCACAUAUAAAAUGUUAUAUAUUAUAGAAAACAUAUACAGUAUCAUAUUAUAUAUACAUACAUAUAUAUAAUAUAUAAAAUAAAUAAAUAUAUACAUAUAUAUUUAUACACACAUAUAUAUUUUUGUUACUGGGGAUUGAACCCAGGGGUGCUUUAGUACAGAGCUACAUCCUACAGCAUGGAGCAUGGAGUUGGACAAAGAUUUCUUUCUUUAUCUCAUGAAUUUGAAUAAAAGAAUAAAAUCUACAACACAAGGGUGAGAGCAAAGUAAUAGGAUUUGUUAGAGUAAUAAAAAAAAAGCAGAACUCCCCAAAAAAGAAGAGUCCCAAGAGAGGGGGAUACCCAGGAGUGGCUAUUGCCUAGGGGUUUAUAUAUAUCUAUAGGUUUAAGGAAGUUAGUCCCCUGCCCAAUCCUGAGUAAGGCACUCAGUGUCCACAAGGUAUUCAUGCAGCCUUUAGUCCAAUAAAAAUAUCAAUCAGGCAUUUUUCCUUCUUUGGAGAGGCAUGGACUCCAGUCACACAGGUUGAUUUUGACAAAGCCUUUUUUUGUAAGUUUCUUAGCAAAUAUCUGCAGGUGCUAUUGGUGCUCUACUAUCAGGGGCCCAUCUCCCUGUCCUGCCAGCCUUAUCACUUGCUCUGAUGUCAAUCCCCAACUCCUUUUUAAAUUUCCUUUAGAGAUGUGGUCUUACUAAGUUACCAAGGUGACCUUAAACUUGAGAUCUUCCUGCCUCAGCCUCCUGAGUUGCUGGAAUCACAGGCAUGUGCCAUGGCACCUGGCAUAAAAUUUGUGAAUCUUUCUCAUCCAGAUUGGAUGUCCCUGAAAAAUCUUCAAUUGUUUUUUUCAAUAUUGGUUUCCCCACUUUCUUUCUCUGUUUCCUCAUCUUUCCUUGUUCCUUUGUUGCUUGCCUCCCAUGAACAUUUCUGAAGGAGAACAAAUCAGCUCUCUCACUAAUUGCAGAGCUCAAGCAAGUUCACAUGCAAACUUGCCACAGCUUCAAAUCUUGCAAAGUAUUCUCACCAACAGUCAGUCACAAAGCUUUCUGGGAACAUCAAGAGAAGUCUUAAGCCACUAGCUAGUGAAUUAUUUUCAUGUCAUAAAUCCUUAAAUUUACAGAGCCAGGACCCAGGGGAAGGAGCAGGACCAUGAUUCAGAAGGGCUGCUGUCCUGUUGGCACACUCUCCACAGCUCUCUGGGUCAUUCAGGGAAAUAUCCACCUGACUCAGCCCUCUCUGCUACUGUCUCUCCCUCAGUGGUCCUGGAAUAUUGACAUCAAGAUUUUAACAGUUCAUCAGGCUUGUAAUCCCCGGACUCAAGAGGCUGAGGCAGAGAAUUUCAGCCUCAGUAAUUUGGGGAGACCCUCAGCAAGUUAGCCAGCCCCUGUCUCAAAAUAAAAUAAAAGACUGGGUAUGAAGCUCAGUGGUAAAGCAUGUCUGGGUUCAAUCCCCAAUACUAAAAAUAUAAGUAAUUUUUAAAGAAAAAGACUGGGGCCAGGUGUGGUGGGACACAACUGGGGAAGCUGAGGCAGGGGAAUGGCAAGUUUGAGGCCAGCCUGUGCAAUAAUUUAGCAAGACCCUCAGCAACUUUAGUGAGACUCUGUCUCAAAGUAAAAAGGACUGGGUAGGAGCCGGGCAUGGUGGCACAUCCCUGUAAUCCCAGUGGCUGGGUAGACUGAAGCAGAAGGAUUGUGAGUUCAAAGCCAGCCUCAGCAACUUAGUGAGGCCCUAAGCAACUUAGCGAAAUCUGUCUCAAAAUAUUUAAAGGACUGGGGACAUGGCUUAGUGGUUAACCAACUCUGGGUUCAAUCCCUGGUAACAAAAAAAAAAAAAAAUAAAGGAUUGGGUAUGCAGCUCAGUGAUAAAGCACAUCUGGGUUCAAUUCCCAUUACCAAAAAAAUUAAAAAUAAACCCCAAAUAAAAAAGUGCUGGGGAUAUGGCUCACUGAUAGAGCGCCCCUGGGUUUAAUCCCUGUUGCAGCAGGGGGCGCAGGGAAGAGAACCAGUAGCCCCCCAUCCACAAGCCCCAGGUUGAAAAUCUGCCAGGCACCUUUCUUGUGAGUAGGAAAUUUUCCCUAGGGAGGGAUUGGGCUACAUCUGCAGGGUUCCUACUUUGAGGGGAGAUUUGAGAAUCCACUUGUUAGCAGUGGCAGCAAGAGCUGGGAUUUCCCUGGGUUUCUCUACUGGUCACUCCAUCUCACUUAAGUUCUGGCUUUGGAGGGGAACUGGAGCUUUGGAAAAGAACAGUAGAAACUGGAAAACCCCCCCACCCCCACACUCACACAUCCAACUCUGCCCAGGAAAGAAAAAUCCUUUCCUGUACAUGGGUGUCUUGGACACAGACAUGAUUUUAGUUCAUUUUUUUUGUUGUUGUUGUUUUGUUUUUCUAUGUAUGCACAGAGCCACACAUGCGCAUAAAGGAACAAAAUCAGAAUGGUUCACUUUGUCAUUGUUGCUACAGAGUCUUGUUUAUUUUAUAGUUAAACAAAGGCAUAGAGGGACUUCUCUAAACUUUUUGCUCAGAAAACCAAACUUGAACUUUGGUCCUUAAAGGAUUCCUGGAAUACUGUUCUAGUGAGCAGAGAGCACCCACUCAUAGCUUUCUCUCUCCUCUCAAGGGUCUUUGAUCUUCACUGCCUGUUCUGCUACACAUACACCAAAUAGACACAGUGUCCUAACUCAAGAGGCCGAAAGUCUUGUGAAGUUCAAUCAGAAAAUUGUCCGAAGGAGGAUGAGAAGAAACAAAGAGUCGCAAGGUUGCAGAGAGGCUGUGACUAAUCAUACUAACAGUGGCUAACACUGUUCAGCAAGUGGGCGCCAGGCCCAUGCGGUAAACAGAUAAUCCCACUUGAAUAUCACAAUGCCCUGGGGAGGAAGUGCUGCAUGUAUUCUCAUUUUAUAAUCCAUGGCACAGAAUAACUGCACAAUGUCCACGUUUGAACCCUGGCCCCACCACUACCUGACCCUGGGCAAACUACUAUCAGUGCCUCAGUUUCCUUUAUUGUAAGCCAAACUGGAUAAGAAUAAUAUCUAGAAUUCCUGUGAAGACUAAGUGAGAUGAAAGACACAAAGGGUUUAGUAAUUAAUUCCAGAGGGUGCUGAAGCAGGAGAAUUAGGAGUUCAAAGCUAGCCUCAGCAAUGGUGUGGUGCUAAACAACUUUGUGAGAACUUGUCUCUAAAUAAAAUACAAAAUAGGGCUGGGGACAUGGCUCAGUGAUUGAGUGUCCCUGAGUUCAAUCCCCAGUACCAAAAAAAAAAAAAAAAAGGCUUGGGACACCGUAAAUUUUGUUUUACCACUAUGACCUCAUUCACCCAGCUGAGAGGCUACUGAACCCGGAUUAGACCCAAGUCUGGCCAUUAGGGAUCUGCUUGUGCAGGAAGCAAAGUUCUAGGAAGCGGGGAGCCCCUAACAAAGUCUGGUGGCGUGGCCUUUGCUCUCCUGCUUCAGGUGCCUCCUGCUCUGGGUUUCCCCCUCACAGGAAGGAUGGGUUGCAGCUCAGACAUCCUCUGACACAUCAUCUACCAUGAACCACAAACAGACAAAACCCGUGAGUUCUCAUCUGUCUCUAUAGUGGCCAGUUUGUGACGCAAAAUCCUGCUUGGAGAAGCAAUUCUGGGAGGCUUUGCUGGACCUCUCAGCCUUGGUGUCCUGCCAAGCACUGUGCUCCAGGCAGCCUCUUCUCCAGCCUGGCCUUUCGAGCACCACUCUUUUCCUUGAACAAGUCAAUGAGCUCUUUCUUCUGCCCAGCCAUGUAUCAACAAGGCACGACACGGGCUUGGCUCGCUGUCUCCAAUCAGUGGGAUUGCUGGACUCCUGUCUCCCAUGAGGGUGGCCCCUUCCCACUGGGGCUGCUUUUUCUUGGGUAUUCCCCUGGUUGGUACCCUCACCCUGGUAACAAUUUGCAAGGGACUUCUGGGAUUGGUGCUAAGGCAACCUUCCCCCUAGCCCCACGGCUCCUAUCAGGCAGCACUUCCCUGAGCUUAGGGAAAGUAGGCUCAGAAUUUAGGUCCAUGUCGCUGCUUAGUGGAGGGGUUUCAGGAACACCAAGGAGCUACUGCCCCCAAUGUUUUUCCCACUGGGCAGCAUUCAGCAUUCACCUAACAAUCUCUCCAUUACCAGCAUUCAAGUUGUUUAGUUUAAACCUGUGUUUCAGAUUGUGAGGACACACUGAUUUAGUUUCCAUCUGUUAUUCUGUGAACAAGGCCUAUUUUGUCCGCUAAAGUGUCUUUCUUUGGGUGAUAAACUAUAUGUCCUCCUAAGUGUGGUGCAUUAGGUCUCUGGGAGAUGGCUGUUAUGAUGCACAUGGUUUCUGGGUACUCUCAUUUACUAGCUUAGUUAACUGAAGGCAAAAAAGUACUUAUGAGGACUUGAGGGAAUUGCUAUUGGUUUGCUUAUCCAGUGUGUGUAUGGAUGGUAGCGGUGAGGAGGGAGAGACCUCAGAUGGACUGGCUUUAGGAAAAGAGUUGAGGCCCUAUUCUCACCACCCCCACCCUACCCCUGCAUUCCAAGCCUGGCCUGGUCAGGGUUAGCCUAUUUUCUUACCCUCCUGAGCCUUACUCCAGGAUUGCAAUUGUCUAUGGACCUGCCAGAUCCCCCCACCACACCAUAAGUUUUCUAAGAGCAAGGACUAGAUGUUAUUCAGCUUUCUAUCUUCAGCAUCUAAUCCCAUGUUUGUCAUGUGAGAUGUGCUUAUUGAAAUCUUUCCCUUGCAGGGCAUGAUAGCAUACACCUUUAAUCCAAGCAACUCAGGAGGCCCAGGCAGGGAGAUCAUAAAUUCAAGACCAGCCUGAACAAUUCAGCAAGACCUUCAGCAACUUAAGGAGACCCCGUAUCAAUAAAAUAAAAUAAAAUGGUUCAGGAUGUAGUUCAGUGGAAAGCACCCUGGAUUCAAUACCCAAUACCAAGGGAAAAUAUAUAUACAUAUAAGUAAAUAAAUUAAUGACUAAUAUAUAUGAAAUAAUAUAUUAGUCAUUAAUUUAUUUAUGAAUAAAUAAAUUAUAGAAUUAAUGAAUAAAUAAAUUAUAGAAUUAAUCUCUUUAACUUACUAUAAAAGGGAAAACCUAGCCUUUUAAAGUUGUUGUGGGGAAUUGAGAGGGUUUACGUAAACUGUUUAGUACAUGACAAAUUGUUAUCUUGCAUUAAACAGAAACUAACAUGUUGUUCCUCAACCUGAAGGUAGUCCACUAAAAUCAAGCCAGAGAAUUGGAAAGGCACCUCCCAGACAGCAUUGCCAUCUUCUGUAAAGCAUAUGUUUCCUUCUCCAGGAUCCAUCUGAAGUUUGUAGUCAAUGGAAUAAUCUCCAUGGGCUUGUUGGAAUGAAAAGGGGGGACAUACAAGGCGAUUUGUUCCAAAACUUACUUAGGGGUCAACAGUUCUUAGAAAAUAUGGCAAAUAAAUGGAAUGAGGGAGAGGAAGCACCAGGUGUUUGGGAAGGGUCUAGAACACGAUGGCUGCAGAAAGAGGAGCUGGGGUGGGGGGCAGAGCAAAUAGGAAAAAAUGAAAGAAAGUUCCAUGGGCCCCCUUAUAUGCUUUGCAGCACUCAGGGACACCGAUGCUGGUUAAUUCCCUAUGUGAUCCUUGGGAAGUCCUGUGAAGGGGGUGUUAUUAUCCCAUUUUCAUCUGAGAACAUUUGAGCCUGGUGGUUAGAUAACUGACAGCUGCUGAGCAGCAACUGCUGGAACUCAUCCUAGGCCUGUCCAAACUGGAGUUCACCUACCUUCCCACAGUGCUGCCUUCCCCAUGGUGGUCUUGGGAGCAGGAUCACAAGGAAGAUCUGCAGUGGGGUAGAUUUAUUUCUACUUUCUGACCCAACCUACAAGAAGUAGGACACCACUAGGAUCACCUUCCAGCCCACAGUAGGCUCUCAGCAAACCCUGAAUGGCCAAUGGGAACUGAGUUUAGGCACAUGCUCAACAGUCCAUGCCAGUAGGACAAAUACCCAAACUGGAGGGAUUAUUUGUGUGACCUAGAAGUUCUUUAUUUUAUUUCUUCCACAACGACCUUGACUCAUGAACCCACAAAAAUAAUCUAAUUCAUAUAUUGUGCCCAACACCAUUAUUUUUUGUUCUAUUUAUUUACUUUCAAUAGGAGAGAUAGAAUUAAAUCCCUAUAAAAAUAGAUUUGGCUUAAAUUAUGUGUAUAUAAUUUAUAAUUCAUUAUUAAUGGCUUAUCUUUCAUUUGAAGACAUUUUAAAAUACAAACUAUACCAAUAGGAGCUGGCAUGGUGGCACAUGCCUCUAAUCCCAGCAGCUCGGGAGGCUGAGGCAGGAGGAUCACAAGUUCAAAGCUAGCCUCAAUAAAAACGAGGCACUAGGCAACUCAGUGAGACCCUAUCUCUAAAUAAAAUACAAAAUAGGGCUGGGAGUGUGGCUCAGUGGCCAAGUGCCCCUGAAUUAAUCCCUGGUACCAAAAAAAGAAAAAGAAAUUAUACCAAUAGGUGUAAUAUUUUGGAGCUGGAGAGGAUCUUAGUAUUCAUCUGAUUAAAUAUCCCAUUUUUCAGAAAAGAAAGAGACACAACUUAUAUGACUUAUCUAAGGCCGGGCUCUAGGGCAUGGCACAGCUGGAUACAAAGCCAGGGGACUCCUCUGGACCACAGGUUUUCAAAUUUUGAAGAAAGAGCCAUUGAUGAGUGGAAAAAUCAAUUUUUGUAGUUUACAACCAACUUUUUAUUUUGUACUGGGGAUUUAACCCAGGGGUGCUUUACCACUGAGCUACAUCCCUAGCCCUUUUUGUUUUAUAUUUUGAGACAGGGUCUAAGUUGCUCAGGGCCUCAGUAAAUUGCUGAGGCUGCCUUGAACUUCAAUCCUCCUGCCUCAGCCUCCUGAGUUGAUGGGAGUGGUGCCUGGAUUUAUUUAUUUACUUAUUUAUUUUGGUUCCAGGGAUUGAACCCAGAGGUACUUAAGCACUGAACCACAUCCUCAGGCCUUUUUCUAUUUUUUAUUUUGGGAUAGGGUCUUGCUAAGUUGCUUAGGGCCUCACUAAAUUGCUGAGGCAGGCUUUGAACUUUUAAUCCUCCUGCCUCCUGAGCUGCUGGGAUCAUAGGUGUAUGCCACUGCACCAGACUUUUUUCUUUCUCUCUUUUUUAACUUUUAAGACAUACAUUUAAACAAAAUUUUUUUGAAGUUAUAUAUGACAGAAUGCCUUUAUUUUAUUUGUUUAUUUUUAUGGGAUGCGAGGAUCGAAUACCAGGGCCUCAGACAUGCUAGGUAAGCACUCUGCCACUGAGCUACAGCCCCAGCCCAGCUUGUAAGAAACAUUUUUAAUACACUUUAUUUUUUAGAGCAAUUUUAAGUUAAUACAAAAACUGCACAGAAAGUACAUUUGUUACAAUUGAUGAACCAAUAUUGAUAUAGUAUUACUAAAUAAGGACUAGAGUGUACAUAAGGACCAUUCUUUGUGCUGUGCAGCUCUUUGGGUUUUGACAAAUGCCUGACGUCAUGUAUUCAUCAUUACUACACCAUGUAAGACAGUUUCAUUGUCCUAAAAGUGCCCUGUGUUCCAUCUAUUCCUCCCUUCUUAGGUCUUCCUGAACUUAGUGUCCAACUUUUUUUUUUUGGGGGGAGGGGUACUAGAGAUUAAACACAGGGCCGCUCUAUCACUGAGGUACAUCCUUAGCCCUUUUUAUUUUUAAUUUUAAGACGGGGUCUCAUGAAUCUCACAAACUGACCUUGAGCUUGUAAGCUCCCUGCCUCAGCCUCACCAAGCUGGGCUCAUGGGUGUGCACCACCAGGCCUGGCCCAACUUUUUGUAUAUAAAGUACAAGAUAAUUUUUAAAAAUCAUAACGCAUAACUCCUAGCAAGAGUAUUAGUUCAUAAAACUUUGGAUGUUUUUGGAAAUUUUCUUUUAAAUACACAUGUGAAUAUAUGUAUAUUUAGGAUAAAAUGUGAAAUUUUCUUACUAUAGGUUGAAGUACAACAAAGUUUGAGAAGCACUUAAAAUUCUAGGGAAUAAAUCCAGAAAAUGAAUGCACAGGUGGAACAUUUCAUACAUGAAACCAAAACAAGAAAAACAUAACCAAGAGACAUUAAGAAAACAAACAAGUAUACAAAAAUUCUCUGAAGAGGAGUACAAAGAGGUCAGAAAGUUAAUUGUUUUUCCCCAGAUCAGCUUUGACUUCAGCUUCUUCUUUGAGAUUGCAGAUCAAAUUGUUUGAAGAUUUUAAAAUUCUCAGAGUACAAGAUAUUUUUCCUGUACUGGGUUAGAUGGAGGAGUGAGGGUUUCAUCUUUACAAACUGAUUCUGUUCAGCUUCCUAACAUGUUAUCUCUGGAUGAUAAUCAACAGAGAAAAAUUCCUUUUGAUGAAGGUUUGGUUCUAAGUUCUUUCUUCUUUCUCUCUCUCUCUCUCUCUCUCUCUCUCUCUCUCUCUCAGAUUUGCUUGGCUCUAUUGCUUCAUAUUCCUUACUUUUUCACUUGAAACAUCAUGGAACUAAGAAUGCUAUUGUAUUAACUUCGUUUCAUGCCAAGUGUCUGAAGACUCCAAAGGGAUUUGCAUUAACUUAUUUAUUUAUUUGUUUAUUUAUUUAUUCAUUCAUUCAUUCAUUUAUUUGCAGUACUGGAGAUUGAACCUAGGGUGCUUUACCACAUUCCCCAACCCAUUCUUUUUGAGGUAUAGGGGAUUGAACCCAGGGCUUUAUGCAUGCUAAGAAAGCAGUCUACCACUGAGUCCUUAUUUAUUUAUUUUUAUUUUUUGAUAUUGAGGAUUGAACCUAGGGGUACUUGACCACUGAGUCACAUCCCCAGACCUUUUUAUAUUUUAUUUUGAGGCAGGGUCUCAUUAAAUUGCUUAGGGCCUUGCUAAAUUGCUGAGGCUGGCCUUGAAUUUGGAGAUCCUCCUGGCUCAGCAUCCCGAGCUGCAGGGAUUAUAGGCACAUGCCAUCGUGCCCAGGUCCCUUAUGUUUUUAUUUUGAGACAGAAUUUCACUAAGUAUCCCAGGCAGGCCUAGAAUUUGUAAUCUUCCUGCUUAAGCCUCUGGAGUAGUUGGGAUUAGACAUGUGCCACUGGACAGGGCUCAAUUUAUUCUUAUGUUAGAUUCUUCAAUAUUUUAAAAAUCUUCCUUUUGUGUACAGCAGUGCCUCAUUUGUCCAAGAAAUGUGUAAUAUCUAGAUAUAGAAGUUACAUAGAGAAAUAUACAAGGUAUACAGAGAAAUCCUGACUUCAAAUUGAAUCUAAUUGGCCAAUCAUGUGGUGACCUCUGCUGUGAUAAUCUCUGCAGGUAAACCAGGGCCUGAAUUCCAGGUUGUACAGCUGAUCACUGUGUGAACCUGGAAAGGGAUUCUCUGUAUUCUUUGUCAAGAAUGGAAUACAAAGUUCAAAUUAAGUGAUACUGAGUUUUUAUUACCAAUUCCUCCUUGUCUGAACAAUGUGGGAACCCUGUGCAUGUGUUUCUAACCCUAUCAACAAUCCCAUGACACACAAAAUAUUGUACUCAUUUAACAGUUGAAUAAAUUUGGGCUUGGAAAGCCUAAGAAACAUUCCCAAGUGGUUAACUAGGUCAGAAUUCAUAUCUGAUUCCCCCCCCCCCCCGAAUUGGGGAUUGAACGGAGGGCCUCACACACACUGUAUAAAUGCCCUACCACUGGGCCUACAUCUUCAACUUGGUACCCAUAUCUGAGAGAGCAGAGGUCAAUUCUUUUACAUGCCCCUAAGGACUAAUGUUGUGCAGCACAUAGUACAUGCUCAAUGAAUGUUUCCUGAAGAACUGAAGAGCAAAAGUUUAACCAAGACUGUGGUAUGGCUGUAAAAUAAUACUAAAAUAAGGUACCAUUACUAAUAUUGCCCGUAACAUACUGAGUACUUACUGUUUGCCAGAUACUAUGUUAAAGUCUUUAAAUGUAUUACAUACACAAUGUACAUAAAGGAUUUAACACAAGUUAUGGCAAUAGUAGACUUCAAUGUUACUAAUACUACAUACAACUAUAAUGAUAGCUAUUAUCAUUAUAGUAAAAGAGCUUAAUGAUAUGAUCUCUUCCAACCCAUGCUCUCUUAGUGCUUCUCUCUGAGUCUUGAACAGGUCAAACUGAGGGUGAAUCCUUUCAGCAGCAAACCAGCUCAAAACCUGGUUUCUCCAUCCAUCUACUUUUAACAUAGGCACAAUCAUGACAUGCUGUGUUGGUUUCAUCUCUAAAUUACAUAAGGAGCCCCCAGCAUGCUUGCUGUGGGAGGCAGGAGGAGGGUGGUGUUCUCUUGCUUGUACUCAGUUUGCAUAACAUACUCUUUUGGGGUGAAUUGAGAAAGAAGUCACAUGGUCUGAUGGCAGCUGCUGGAGGAAGGAGUGGUGACUCAGCAGGGCUCUGCAGGACAGUGCACCAAGCUCCCAGGAGCAGCAAACAUUAGCACCCCCAGGCCACCAGGGAGCCCUGUAGUAGAAGGAAGGAAGGGAAGUUGAGUGGCCUUGGGGACAUGGGGAAGAAUUCUGGGAUCUGGACCAUGUGAUUCUGUCCUAGCACUGAGCCAGCAUACUUUAAAGUGGGGAAGUUCCAGGUGUUGCCCAUGGUAUACACACAAUAGCCCAGAGCCUGGAAAUUAAAUUUCCCAGAUGGUAACUGGAAUUUUCACAAAGUCAAUGCCACAGGCAGGAGGAUUAUGCACAAUUUUAGAAACAGACCAUAUUAUUACUGAGAAACUGAUGUGACUCCAUUUUUGAGAAACCAGCUUCUACCUCAAGGCUUGUCCUAAGGAAGAGGGCAUGACCCUUGUCCUGGGAAAAACCCACAGAGCCUUUCUAGGCACAUACUCACCCUGCUGAGUUGUUUGUCUGCAAAUAACAGGAGAGAUCUGCAGCACCAGGUGUCCCUGACUCAGUUAGGCCAGGUGAAGACCCAUAGCAACUCCCUAGCAACCACCAAUCAGCAUGAGACAGGGAAAAUACCUGGGAUGCCAGAUGACUCCCAGUAGUUUAUGGUGGUUGAUUACAUGUUGGGAAACCAUGUAGUUUAGCACAUACACCCUUCAUGGCUCAAACCAAUCAGUUCAAUGGAAUCCUCCUCUUGUACUAACCAAUCACCCCUACCCAACUUGUUCCCGCCAGUGAAUGUGCUAAUCAAUGUUAAGAGUUGUUGUUUGAUUUUCCCACGGUAUGAAAUGAUUUGCUGUGUGAUGUUGUGACGCAUAGAGUAUCCCCCAAAAAACCUAUAAAAUCUCACUGAACAAAGGACUGGAACUCACUCCCUGGGACCGCUGUGUUGGGAACGGUUGUGAGUCCAGGUUUAAGCUUGCAAUAAAGACUCUUGUGUGAUUGCAUCGGAUUUGGCUCCUGGAGGUCUAUUGGGGUCCCACGAAUCUGGCAUUACAAUUACAACUCCAGAUCUUCCCUCUAAUGAUCCUACUGUUAAAUACAAUAUCAAUAUAUUUUGAAAUAAAACUCAUAAAAAGAUAUAAUAUGAAGUCACUCUUACCUCUGAUAACUGGAAAGUCUUUCACUAAAAAUUCUCAAGAAAGGGGCUGGAGUUGUGGCUCAGUGGUAGAGCACUUGCCUUGCACGUGUGAGGCACUGGGUUCAAUCCUCAGCAUGACAUAAAAAUAAAUAAAAUAAAGGUAUUGUGUUCAUCUGCAUUUAAAAAAAUAAAAAUAAAUUCUCAAGAAAGGGUUCUUAAAGUUUAUUCAUUUUUUCUGUUUAUCCAUACCUUCAAUCAAUCUACAAAUAUUUAUUAUUAUUAUUAUUAUUACUAUUAUCACUCUCCAAGGUAAAGCUGAUGAACAUUUUAGUAGUAGAAGUCAGAAGCUGGUAUUUGAGUUCCAUUUUUACUAGUACUUAACUGUGAAAUUUAGGAAAUUUCCUUUGUAAAAUGUGGAGGAAAAUUCUUAGCUUGUAUCCCAAGAACUUUACAAAUAUCAUGAGAUAAUGUAUGGAAAGUGAUAAAGCAUCUUAUGGAAAAGUGGUAAAAAUUGCAUUUUUAUGACUUGGAGUCUGAGGCAGGAAGAUCUCAAGUUGAAGGCCAGCCUGAGUAGCUUAGCAAGUCCUUAUCUCAAAAGAAAAAAAAAAAAAAACGAAAACGAUGUAGCUUAUGAUAGAGCACCUAUUCAUUCCCCAGUAAAGAAGAAAAAAAAUGAAUUUUUACCUCAUAAAGAAACUGAGACAUGAAAUGAAUAAAGAUUUGCUCAAGUUCAUAAUUAGCUAGUAAAGGAAUUCAAAGGCUGGAUAUAAAUUCAGGUAAUUGGACAUAGUAUAGGUGGAAUAAAUUCAGCUGAACAAUUGCUUUUGCUGGGCACGGUGGUGCAUGCCUGCAAUCCCAGCAGCUCUGGAGGCUGAGGCAGGAGGAUCACAAGUUCAAAGUCAGCCUCAGAAAUGGAGAGGCACUAAGCAAAUCUGUGAGAGAGACCUUGUCUCUAAAUAAAAUACAAAAUAGGACUGGGGAUGUGGCUCAGUAGUUGAGUGCCCCUGAGUGCAAUCCCUGGUAACAAACAAAUAAACAAACAAAAACCAGUUGAUUUCUUUGUUCUUUUUCUUUCCUCCAAUACAUGGGAUUGAAAUCAAGGGUGCUUUCUUAGCUCACAGUUCUGUAGGACAAGAGCAGGGCACUGGCUUCUGCAUGGCUCCUCCCAGGUCAGCCACGUGUGCAUGGUUGGUUCCAUCAGCUGUUCCCUCCCUCCACUAUCACUACCUCCCAGGCCUUGUAGUCACAUGAGCUCGCACUAUCACUAGCUUUGGGUGGCAAGUGUGCUAAACUGCCAAGGGGUGUUAUCACAUAAAGUGAGGAAUUAUUUAUAGAGAGGGUGCACUUUGUUGUUGUUGGUUUUUUUGGUUUUUUUUUUUUUUUUUUAAAUAAUUCUCUCUAUCGCUUUUUUUUUUAAAGAGAGAGAAUUUUUUAAUAUUUAUUUUUUAGUUAUCGGCAGACACAACAUCUUUGUUUAUAUGUGGUGCUGAGGAUCGAACCCGGGCCGCACGCAUGCCAGGCGAGCGCGCUACCGCUUGAGCCACAUCCCCAGCCCCUGAGAGGGUGCACUUUGAAUGAUUGUAUUAUGGAUUUUGUUUAUGAGAUUAAAGACCCCAAAUUUCCUAGUCAAACAACCAGUUCAGGGCUAUGGUUGUAGCUCAGUGGCAGAACACUUGCCUAGCAUGUGGGAGGCCCUAAAUUCAGUCCCCAGUACUGCCCAAUCCCCCCCCCCAAAUAAAUUAAUUUCAUAAAUAUUGGGUAGGGCUCUGAAGAUAGACACAUAUGUCCAGAAGAUAUGCCCAGAAAUAAUUGUAUUAUAAGGCCAUCUAUGAACAUUUCUUAGAGACUGUCAUAAAAUUACAUGGAAAAAUAAAAAUGGAUUAAGUAUCCUAAAGGAACCAGAAAGUUUUCAUUGAGCAAAUGCAGUUUGAGAUAUGGCUUGAAAUAUUUAUUUGAUUUUAUUUUUGGUACAGGGAAUUGAAUGAACCCAGAGGCACUCGACCACUGAGCCGCAUCCCCAGCCCUAUUUUGUAUUUAAUUUAGAGACAGGGUCUCACUGAGUUGCUUAGCACCUUGCUUUUGCUGAGGCUUCCCCAGCCCUUUUUUACAUUGAUUUCACAGGGAUGUUCAAGACUGCAGUUCAUGAAGAAUACACACCAAACUGUUAAUUGUGGUCACUACAGGAGUGGUAGGUGAUACACAGGAUUAUAGAGUCCUUUCAUGCAGUCCAAUUUGAUUGCAUCUGUCGUCCAUAAUAAACCAAGAUACAGAAAGGCAGAAAGCAUUCCCUCCAUUGUGCCGUGAUAGGGAAGAAGAGAGCUACAGAGAGCAGAUGGAGGGAAGGCCUACCUGUUCUCUGAUGGUACGGGAGGUCAUAUAUGAAUACGUAUAUGAAUAUAGUGGGUAAAGAAUGUCAUGCAUGCUGGACACGGCCCUUAAUCUCAUGAAGAUUAUAAUACAUAUAAAACAUAAGUCUUUUCAACACAUGCAUUUUUUAAUAUAUACACACAAACAUGCAUACACUACAUAUACAGAAUAUACUUCUAAAUUAAUUACAUUUUAAUUAUCUUUUAGCUCACAAAAAUAGCAUUUUUGUUGUAAAAUAUAAUUAAUAUAUUCUGGAUAUCUUAUCAGAUAUAUGGUUUGCAUUUGUUUUCUUCCAAUCUGUGGGUUGCCCUUUUGCUCAAUUGAUAGUUUUGUCAUUGUUUUGUUUGUUUACUGGUGGUACUAAGGACUGAAUCCAAGACUGGCCCAUGUUUGGCAAGCAUUCUGCUGAGCUACACCCCAAGUCCUCUUUAUUUUUAAGAUUAUUAUUAUUAUUGGUACUGGGGAUUGAACACAGAAAUGCUUUACCAAUGGGCUACAUCCCAGUCCAUUUUAUUUUUUGAGAUAGGGUCUCACUUAAGUUGCUUAGGGCCUUGCUAAGUUGUCAAGGCUGGUUUCGAACUUGCAAUCCUCCUGCCUCAGUCUCCCAAAUUGAUGGAAUUACAGGCAUACACCACCAUACCUGGCUCAAGCCCUUUUUAUUUUAUUUUGAAACAGGGUCUCACUAAAUUUCGUAGGCUGGCCUCAAACUUGCAAUCCUCCUGCCUUAGCUCUCUGAAUAGAUGGGAUUAUAGGCAUGUACCACCAUGCCUGGUCUGAUAGUGUCAAAAAGUUUUAAAUUUUUAUUAAGGCCAAUUUGUAUAUUUUUUCUUUUGCUGCCUGUACUUUUGCUGUCAUAUUCAAGAAAUUGUUGCCACUAUCAUAAAGGUUUUCUUGUGUUUCUUUUUCCUAAGGGUUUUAUAGCUUCAGGUCUAUUAAGUUUUUGAUCCAUUUGGAGUUCAUUUUUAUAUAUAUUAAAAGAUAAAGGUCCAUUUUGUGUGUGUGUGUGAAUAUCCCCUUUCCCAGUAUUCUUUGUGAAAAAGACUGUCCUUUCCCCACUGAAUGGUCUUGACACCCUUCUCAGAAAAUCAAUUGACCAUACAUAUGAGGGCUUAUUUCUGGACUCUCUAUUCUGAUCCAUUGGUCUGCUAUAGAUUUGUGUUUAAAAUAAGGUAGUGUAAGUUCUCCAACUUUGUACUUAUUCAAGGUUGCUUUGGCUAUUUGGAGCUUCUUGAGAUUUCCUAUGAAUUCUGGGAUGGAUUUUUCUAUUUCUGCAAAGCAGCACCACUGGGAUUUUGAUAGGGUUUGCUGUAGCAAGGUUGCAGUCAGAGGGAAGAAUGUUGGGGUUUAGACCUCUAGGAAGGUAAGGUGCUCCAAAGGUAACUCACAAAGACACUGACUUCAGAGGGAGAUUCAAGACUGCAGUUUAGGAAAAAUAUAUACCAAACUCUGAAUGGAGGUUAUCACUGGAAACGGGGUGGGGAUAUGGACAGGAUUAUAGAAGGAUUUUAUUAUAGCACCUUUGUUUUUAGUACUGGGGAUUUAACCCAGGGAAAUUUACCACUGAGCCACAUCCCCAGGACUUUUUAUUUUGAGAUGGAGACUUGCUAAAUUGCACAGUUUCUGAAGCUGGCCUUGAAUUUGCAAUCCUCCUGCCUCAACCUCCUGAGUCACUGGGAUUACUUGGGCGUGCUACCACGUGGGCAUUAUAGCACCUUUUUAAGAAUAAAGGAUAAUAAGAGUUAUUGAUUUAAGGUUAUAAUUUAGGAACUUUAAUUUGGGAGAGGAAGAUUAUGAAUCAGGUCCCUUUUUGUGGACUAACCCUCACAGAGUGACCAGAAGGUGUCUGAUGAUACAGGCACAGAUGCAUGGAGGGUGUAGGAUACCUACCAGCUGACCUUAUCUCUUAUUUUUUUCAGAGCAAUGGUCUGGCAGUAGCACUGUGCAGCUGAGACAAGGCCAACCCUGCAAAUAGAAGUGAUAAAGCAAACACCCUUGACUCAAGGUGGCGGCAGGGUAAGCUAUAU
This 19093-nucleotide long non-coding RNA is filed under the name Marmota monax (woodchuck). The stretch from base 14777 to 14837 matches the Rfam family "tRNA", at positions 6 to 65 of the family's 71-position model. The record is from RNAcentral. Lineage: Eukaryota; Metazoa; Chordata; Mammalia; Rodentia; Sciuridae.